This 371-nucleotide long non-coding RNA is filed under the name Elaeis guineensis (African oil palm). RNAcentral's name for it is "long non-coding RNA (EGUI_LNC057303)". Lineage: Eukaryota; Viridiplantae; Streptophyta; Magnoliopsida; Arecales; Arecaceae. The record is from RNAcentral.
AAAAAAAUUUUUCAUAAGAAUCACAAUUGGACUUGAGCUGAUUGAAUCUAUCAUAUGACUGAUGACGAGGUUUGAAGAUUUAUCCAUGACCUGCCAUCUAGUCGGAACUCAUGAUAGAGGGACUGAAUCACACGUGAACUAUAUCUUGAGGUUCUUUUUGGUUUUACUGGGUUGCCACUACAUACUGCUAGAUGUUAUUGAUGGAUUAAGAAAGCUCACUUGGAUUGCUCAGGAUCGAUAAUCCUUGAUGAGUUAGAGUGGAAUUAUUCCGACCCAUUGAAAAGAGUUUCAAUGAUACUAUGAUAGAGAUCAUUAUAUAUCUCACUACCAGAUAAAAUUAAAUCCAUGGGAUCACACAACAAAGGGAUUAG